AGUUCCAAUAGCGUAUAUUAAAGUUGUUGCAGUGAAAAAGCUUGUAGUUGAACUUCUGGCCUGGAUGGCUCGGUCUGAUGCUUAUGCGUGAAUACCUGAGCCAUCCGACCAUCCUUGGGUGGAACCUGUGUGGCAUUAAAUUGUCGUGUAGGGGAUGCCCAUCUUUUACUGUGAAAAAACUAGAGUGUUCAAAGUAGGCUUAUGCCUUUGAAUAUAUUAGCAUGGAAUAAUGAUAUAGGACUUUGGUACUAUUUUGUUGGUUUGUGCACUAAAGUAGUGAUUAAUAGGGACAGUUGGGGAUAUUAUUAUUUUUAGGUCAGAGGUGAAAUUCUUGGAUUCUUUAAAGAAUAACUACUGCAAAAGCAUUUAUCAAGGAUGUUUUCA
Molecule: ribosomal RNA, 384 nt
Filed under: uncultured eukaryote
Lineage: Eukaryota
Description: SSU rRNA
Rfam family: Eukaryotic small subunit ribosomal RNA
Source: RNAcentral